AAUUCUCAAACAUUCACAACUUAAUUUACCAUUUUUCUCAUUGCUCAAUUGUUACACAUUUUCACACAAAUUUCAGCAUAAUUUUUUUAUAAAUAUUUUUUCCUUUUUCAAUGCUUUUUCUUUUUCUCUUUUCUUUUCUUUCUCUUUUUUAAAAAAAAAAUCUUUUUCUUUCUCAACCUCAUAGCAAUCAAUUUUUUUCUCCUGAACUUGAAUACAACCAAGUCUUGCAAUGUGAACACUCUAAAACUUUCUAAGGCAAGAUUUAAA
RNAcentral lists this long non-coding RNA (267 nucleotides) under Lathyrus oleraceus (garden pea). RNAcentral describes it as "Pisum sativum (pea) long non-coding RNA (PSAT_LNC004227)". Lineage: Eukaryota; Viridiplantae; Streptophyta; Magnoliopsida; Fabales; Fabaceae. The record is from RNAcentral.